GGAAAAGUCUCCGAAUUGGACUGAGGUUUUGGCUAGCCCCCCAUUGUCAGACGUCCCGAGCGCGUUCCCGAAGUCGGAAUCGGCAAAGGUGAGCCGGGACAGCCUUCUUCCUCCGCCCAGCCGCCACAGUAAUUUGUCGUCAAGUCUGCCACAGGAGGAUAUUUUGUUCUGGGUUAACCUGCCUUUUUACCUCGCAGGUUGUUUAUCAAUAUUGUGUAAUUUUAAUUACUCCUAGAAUUUCCGCAUGUGUUAGCAGUAAUUAUUUGAAAUUGGUCUGUAAUAUUAUAUUCAUGUUGGACCUGUAAACUUAAUAUUUUAAGUCUGUUUGAUGGAUUGGAUGAGGGAGCUGAGCUCCCAUUUAUUAUUA
Long non-coding RNA from Hevea brasiliensis (rubber tree), 367 nucleotides. RefSeq lists it as uncharacterized. The transcript has 3 exons. NCBI's taxonomy places the organism in Eukaryota, Viridiplantae, Streptophyta, Magnoliopsida, Malpighiales, Euphorbiaceae. The record is from RefSeq and is a predicted model, not a curated record.